GCUCGGCCCUGACCACAGAUAAUUACCAAACAAAAUUAUCCGCCAGAGAACUACAAGCGAAAAGCUCGAAACUCCAAGGACUUGGCGGUGCUCCAUACCGACCUAGAGGAGCCUGUCCUAUAAUCGAUAUUCCCCGCUAUACCCAACCACCUUUUGCCCACAGCCUAUAUACCGCCGUCGAAAGCCUACCUUAUGAAAGAACACUAGUAGGCAAAAUGGUCCUCCACCAACACGUCAGGUCAAGGUGUAGCUAACAAGGUGGGAGAGAUGGGCUACAUUUUCUAAAACAGAAAACACGAACAGCACACUGAAACUUGUGCCAGAAGGCGGAUUUAGCAGUAAGAUAAACAAGAGAUUGUAUCUUAAACCCGCUCUGGAGCGCGCACAC
Molecule: ribosomal RNA, 388 nt
Filed under: Brachymeles bicolor
Lineage: Eukaryota; Metazoa; Chordata; Lepidosauria; Squamata; Scincidae
Description: partial 12S ribosomal RNA
Rfam family: Bacterial small subunit ribosomal RNA
Source: RNAcentral